Molecule: long non-coding RNA, 245 nt
Filed under: Elaeis guineensis (African oil palm)
Lineage: Eukaryota; Viridiplantae; Streptophyta; Magnoliopsida; Arecales; Arecaceae
Description: long non-coding RNA (EGUI_LNC002713)
Source: RNAcentral
AUCACUGCAUCCCAUUUCUAUCUUUUUAAAUUUUAAAUAUUUAAAUUUUAAAUUAAUUUAAUAAUAUUAUUUAAAUUAAUAUUAUUCUGAAGAGGUAGAAUAACUCUGAGAAGCUCUCCGACAAGAGUAGCCUUACUGCCUUCGACGAUAGGAGUUUGAGAUCGGACUACCGUUGAACUGGCUCUGGCCCACUCAUCUACUCUGGUGGCGAUCAGAGUAGCUCGACUAUUGGAUUCUAGGCCCUA